ACCCAUGGAUCCAUCCCUGCCAA
RNAcentral lists this non-coding RNA (23 nucleotides) under Arabidopsis thaliana (thale cress). Lineage: Eukaryota; Viridiplantae; Streptophyta; Magnoliopsida; Brassicales; Brassicaceae. The record is from RNAcentral.